GGCCAUCUGGGUAACACAGAUGUGCCUGACUCUGCUAGGCAACCCAUUCCAUUCAAUAAUGCUCACGACUUCACACUGCCAGCCUUGUGAGAGCCACCAGCAUCUCUCGCCUGGAGGCUGUGACCACCUCCCACCGAGAUUCUACAUUUCCACCUUUGCC
This is a long non-coding RNA of Lemur catta (Ring-tailed lemur), 160 nucleotides long. RefSeq lists it as uncharacterized. The record is from RefSeq and is a predicted model, not a curated record. NCBI's taxonomy places the organism in Eukaryota, Metazoa, Chordata, Mammalia, Primates, Lemuridae. The transcript has 3 exons.